RNAcentral lists this ribosomal RNA (470 nucleotides) under uncultured bacterium. RNAcentral describes it as "bacterial SSU rRNA". It matches the Rfam family "Bacterial small subunit ribosomal RNA", at positions 28 to 487 of the family's 1533-position model. The record is from RNAcentral.
GACGAACGCUGGCGGCGUGCCUAACACAUGCAAGUCGAACGAGAUCCAUGGGAGCUUGCUCCCGGAAGAUCUAGUGGCGAACGGGUGAGUAACACGUGAGAAACCUGCCCUGGAGUGGGGAAUAACUCGGGGAAACUCGAGCUAAUACCGCAUACCCUCGGAUGGUCGCAUGGCCGACCGAGGAAAGAUUUAUCGCUCUAGGAGGGUCUCGCGGCCUAUCAGCUAGUUGGUGGGGUAACGGCCUACCAAGGCAACGACGGGUAGCUGGUUUGAGAGAACGAUCAGCCACACUGGGACUGAGACACGGCCCAGACUCCUACGGGAGGCAGCAGUGGGGAAUCUUGCGCAAUGGGCGAAAGCCUGACGCAGCAACGCCGCGUGCGGGAUGAAGGCCUCGGUUGUAACUAGCUUUGUACGGUAACGAAACGGACGAGCUCUAAUACAGUUGCUAAUGACGGUACCGUAAGAAU